AGAAGUACAAACUUCCAUUUAUAAAAUAAAUUAAGUCACAGGGAUGAAAAGCACAGCAUAGGGAAUACAGUCAAUAACACUGUAAUAACUUUGUAUGGUGACAGAUGUACACUUGUAAGUGCACAUUUCAUAAUGUAUAUAAUUGUCGAGUUACUAUGUUAUACACCUGAAACCAAUAUAAUAUUGUAUGCCAACUAUACUUCAAUUUAUAAAAAUGUUACUGCUAGUAAUGGUAGCAGUAUCCCAGUCCACAAUACCACACGUUUGAAAGUCUCAUCUAAUUUGUACUUGUUUUUGUUAGACUGUACACUUGUAAAGUAGGGACUAUAUCUAUUUAUCUCUAUAUCCCCAGAAUCUACCCUGAGGCCAUGCCCAUAAUAGCCACUAAUUAAGCAACUGUCCUUUCAGGCACUAGAGAAGAGACCACCAAAAUCCUCUGCCUAGCCUCCCUCAUUCCCCUAUAGAUUAUAUCCUCAGUUCCUAUAAUUCUUUGGCUUCCUUUGACUCCCUUUCUUGUUCCCACCUCCUCCCUUCCUCUGCUCCAGGGAUGUUCAUUCACUAAUGGUGAUCUCUGUUCUCAUCCCUGGCAGGUGUUCCAAUGCUUCCUUUUGCUCUCUACCCACAGCUGUAUUAUCUAACCAGCCUCUGCAUCACUUAUUCUGCAAUUAAUAGAAGGGUGAACGGAGGCUGUAUUUCUCGACCAUUGGUCUCAUACCCAUUUGUGAGAAGGAGAAUUCUCUGGAAAAGAGAAAAGCAGAGCAGAAACUCAAAGAGGAAGAGAAUACGAAAAUCCUCAGAGCUGAGAAGAUACAAGAUCACAGGCAGCUACAGACUCGAAAAUAAGAAUAAGGACCAAGGAACAGUCUGACAUGACCAGGAGAGUGAGGAAAAACGAAAGAGCAGGGAGAAGACAGGAGUGUAUAUGGUGGCAGAGAUGAUGGAGAUGAACAAAGAAGAGCCAGAGACAGAUGUCAUACAAAAGGAACAGUAAGUUCUUAUCAUAAAUACAGAGAUGGAAGCAGUGAUCUAAUUAUGGCUAAAAUCAGUUUCUAGGCCAGCUUUCCCAGUUGAAGCUUUCCUGGGUGACUCCAUCAGCCAGCCCUGUGUGGUCCAGGAGUAUGGCAGAGUGGGAGUAGAAAUGGGCAGAGACAGAUAUUAACUUCUCCCACUUCCGUUUAAACCCAAGAAGACCUUUAUUCUCCUACACAGGAAAACUGGACUUUGCACAUUCGUUGGCUACUUUGUAUCAGAUAGAGAAAUUUGAUUAAUGCCACUUCUUCAAAGAGUCAGCUGUAAAACUUUGCCUGUCAGUAAAUAAACAAAUUAAAGAGCAAGAGUUAUUAGUGCUUCA
Neofelis nebulosa (Clouded leopard) is the source of this 1351-nucleotide long non-coding RNA. RefSeq lists it as uncharacterized. Lineage: Eukaryota; Metazoa; Chordata; Mammalia; Carnivora; Felidae. The record is from RefSeq and is a predicted model, not a curated record. The transcript is spliced from 3 exons.